Capsicum annuum is the source of this 107-nucleotide non-coding RNA. The record is from Rfam. Lineage: Eukaryota; Viridiplantae; Streptophyta; Magnoliopsida; Solanales; Solanaceae.
ACUUUAUGGUUUGUGAAUUGCAUGAUUUUAUCCAUGAACCAUUGGCACAUUUCAUAUAAAGUCUCACCACUAUAUUAAUGAAAAUUUAUGAUUUCAUCCCUUAAUUU